GUUUAUAUAGUUUAACAAAAACAUUACAUUUUCAUUGUAAAAAUAAAUAAUUUUUAUAAAUU
RNAcentral lists this transfer RNA (62 nucleotides) under Eubasilissa sinensis. RNAcentral's name for it is "tRNA-Glu". Lineage: Eukaryota; Metazoa; Arthropoda; Insecta; Trichoptera; Phryganeidae. The record is from RNAcentral.